Herpailurus yagouaroundi (jaguarundi) is the source of this 613-nucleotide long non-coding RNA. RefSeq lists it as uncharacterized. Lineage: Eukaryota; Metazoa; Chordata; Mammalia; Carnivora; Felidae. The record is from RefSeq and is a predicted model, not a curated record. The transcript is spliced from 2 exons.
GCUCACUAUUCUUAAAGAAAAGGGAACAAGGACCCCAAAGGUGCACAGCUGGAGAGGAAUUUGGCCUCAGGAUGAAUUGUAUCUCCAGUCACACCCAUACCUGAUUGACAUGAUAUUUAGCUGAUAGAGACUUUGGGGUUUAUAGGUGACGUUAGGAUGAGUUAAAAAUUAGGGGGUUGUUGGGACGGAAAGAAUGUAUUUUGCAUAUAAUAAGGGCAAGAAUUUGGGGGGGGGGGGCAGGGGUGGAAUGUCAUGGCCUGAACUGUGUUCUCCUCAAAUUCAUGUUGAAGCCCUAACCCUCAGCGUAGCCAAAUGUGGAGAUGGGCCUUUAGGUGGUAAUUGAGGUUAAAGGAGUUCAUAAGGGUGGGGUCUUCAUCUGAUAGGAUUAGUGUCCUUAUAAGAAGAAAUACCAGAGUGCUCUCUCCUUCUGUUUCGUCCUCCCCUUCCCCACUUCUUCCCCUCCUUCUCCCCAUGCUCAAAGGAAAGGCCAUGUAAGGCCAAAGCUACCAUCUGCAAGCCAAGAAGGAAAGCGUCACCAAAAACCAAACCCUGCUGGAAACUUGAUCUUCCCUUUCAGCCUCUGGAAUAAAGAAACUUAAUUUCUGUUGUUGAA